RNAcentral lists this transfer RNA (73 nucleotides) under Streptococcus pneumoniae. RNAcentral describes it as "tRNA-Val". It matches the Rfam family "tRNA". Rfam says of the family: Transfer RNA (tRNA) molecules are approximately 80 nucleotides in length. RNAcentral also lists the same sequence under 1 other name. The record is from RNAcentral. Lineage: Bacteria; Bacillati; Bacillota; Bacilli; Lactobacillales; Streptococcaceae.
GGGAGUUUAGCUCAGCUGGGAGAGCAUCUGCCUUACAAGCAGAGGGUCAGCGGUUCGACCCCGUUAACUCCCA